This 389-nucleotide unclassified non-coding RNA is filed under the name fungal sp. RNAcentral's name for it is "partial internal transcribed spacer region". The stretch from base 1 to 46 matches the Rfam family "Eukaryotic small subunit ribosomal RNA", at positions 1786 to 1831 of the family's 1831-position model. Lineage: Eukaryota; Fungi. The record is from RNAcentral.
AAGUCGUAACAAGGUUUCCGUAGGUGAACCUGCGGAAGGAUCAUUAACACGUAUCCACGUAUCAACCAAUGAGGACUGUUUUCCCGUCUCCCUACGUAUGAAAUGAAUUGAUGACCAGUUUGAGGGAGUGAUGGGACUGCUUCGGCGUCGGCCUUCCUGGUUACUAAGUCGAAUCGAAAGAUUUGCCUUGACAAUAAGAUUCAUGCGGAGGCUCCAUUCCUGCUACUUUGAUCUCCAUCAUGAUCGUGGCGGCAGGAAUACUUUAACAAAUUUCACCCCUUUUUGCUAGUUGACUUUUUAUAUGUGUUGUUAUGCGCAAGCAUGAUACGCACGUUUAAUUAAUUGAACGUUAAAAAAUACAACUCUUAGCAAUGGAUAUCUUGGUUCUC